GAGAGCGGCGGACGGGUGAGUAAUGCCUAGGAAUCUGCCUGGUAGUGGGGGAUAACGCUCGGAAACGGACGCUAAUACCGCAUACGUCCUACGGGAGAAAGCAGGGGACCUUCGGGCCUUGCGCUAUCAGAUGAGCCUAGGUCGGAUUAGCUAGUUGGUGAGGUAAUGGCUCACCAAGGCGACGAUCCGUAACUGGUCUGAGAGGAUGAUCAGUCACACUGGAACUGAGACACGGUCCAGACUCCUACGGGAGGCAGCAGUGGGGAAUAUUGGACAAUGGGCGAAAGCCUGAUCCAGCCAUGCCGCGUGUGUGAAGAAGGUCUUCGGAUUGUAAAGCACUUUAAGUUGGGAGGAAGGGCAUUAACCUAAUACGUUAGUGUUUUGACGUUACCGACAGAAUAAGCACCGGCUAACUCUGUGCCAGCAGCCGCGGUAAUACAGAGGGUGCAAGCGUUAAUCGGAAUUACUGGGCGUAAAGCGCGCGUAGGUGGUUCGUUAAGUUGGAUGUGAAAUCCCCGGGCUCAACCUGGGAACUGCAUUCAAAACUGUCGAGCUAGAGUAUGGUAGAGGGUGGUGGAAUUUCCUGUGUAGCGGUGAAAUGCGUAGAUAUAGGAAGGAACACCAGUGGCGAAGGCGACCACCUGGACUGAUACUGACACUGAGGUGCGAAAGCGUGGGGAGCAAACAGGAUUAGAUACCCUGGUAGUCCACGCCGUAAACGAUGUCAACUAGCCGUUGGGAGCCUUGAGCUCUUAGUGGCGCAGCUAACGCAUUAAGUUGACCGCCUGGGGAGUACGGCCGCAAGGUUAAAACUCAAAUGAAUUGACGGGGGCCCGCACAAGCGGUGGAGCAUGUGGUUUAAU
RNAcentral lists this ribosomal RNA (863 nucleotides) under Pseudomonas frederiksbergensis. RNAcentral's name for it is "bacterial SSU rRNA". It matches the Rfam family "Bacterial small subunit ribosomal RNA", at positions 91 to 950 of the family's 1533-position model. The record is from RNAcentral. Lineage: Bacteria; Pseudomonadati; Pseudomonadota; Gammaproteobacteria; Pseudomonadales; Pseudomonadaceae.